AGUGAACGCUGGCGGUAGGCCUAACACAUGCAAGUCGAACGGCAGCACAGUAAGAGCUUGCUCUUACGGGUGGCGAGUGGCGGACGGGUGAGGAAUACAUCGGAAUCUACUUUUUCGUGGGGGAUAACGUAGGGAAACUUACGCUAAUACCGCAUACGACCUACGGGUGAAAGCAGGAGAUCUUCGGACCUUGCGCGUUUGAAUGAGCCGAUGUCGGAUUAGCUAGUUGGCGGGGUAAAGGCCCACCAAGGCGACGAUCCGUAGCUGGUCUGAGAGGAUGAUCAGCCACACUGGAACUGAGACACGGUCCAGACUCCUACGGGAGGCAGCAGUAGGGAAUCUUGGACAAUGGGCGCAAGCCUGAUCCAGCCAUGCCGCGUGAGUGAAGAAGGCCUUCGGAUUGUAAAGCCCUUUUGUUGGGAAAGAAAAGCAGCAGGUUAAUACCCCGCUGUUCUGACGGUACCCAAAGAAUAAGCACCGGCUAACUUCGUG
Molecule: ribosomal RNA, 492 nt
Filed under: uncultured bacterium
Lineage: Bacteria
Description: partial 16S ribosomal RNA
Rfam family: Bacterial small subunit ribosomal RNA
Source: RNAcentral